This 481-nucleotide long non-coding RNA is filed under the name Lactuca sativa (garden lettuce). Its description in RNAcentral is "long non-coding RNA (LSAT_LNC007419)". The record is from RNAcentral. Lineage: Eukaryota; Viridiplantae; Streptophyta; Magnoliopsida; Asterales; Asteraceae.
UCGACUCACCCGCGGUAAGUGACGAUUACGAAUCUUCAAACCUACUGCAAUUAGGGAUUUCGAUAACCCGGCUUUGAUUCAUGAUUUGAUGUUCAAUUUUCCUGCUAAAUUUCACCUCACCUAUCUUUAGUCACUAAAUCAAUUAGGUGAAUUUUCAGCUAAGUAAGGGGUAAAAUGCAUAAUGUAGUUGGAUGUUGAUUGAACAUGUAUGAUGUCGAAGCAAUAAAUAGAAAUAUACUUUCUUUCUCAUGGGUAAACAGUUUGUUUCAAAAUCAGAGUCGCCAUUAAUGCAAUAACAUCAAAUUCUCGCAACUACAUCCAUCUUUAAUACUUACAAAUUUGAUUACCUUGUGACUGAUUUUUAUUCUGCAGAAUUGGAUCAACUUCUAGCAGAUGCACCAUCACCUUUCAUUAUGCAGCAUGCUGCAAAAAUAUCUGGUGUUAAAAAACGAGUAUCAUCUCUAAAUUUAGUUUUGAAGUC